AGGAGAGUAGUUCAAUUGGUAGAGCAGCGGUCUCCAAAACCGCAAGUUGCAGGUUCGAUCCCUGUCUCUCCUG
Molecule: transfer RNA, 73 nt
Filed under: Bacteroidota bacterium
Lineage: Bacteria; Pseudomonadati; Bacteroidota
Also listed under: 2 other names
Description: Bacteroidetes bacterium (activated sludge metagenome) tRNA-Trp
Rfam family: tRNA
About the family: Transfer RNA (tRNA) molecules are approximately 80 nucleotides in length. Their secondary structure includes four short double-helical elements and three loops (D, anti-codon, and T loops). Further hydrogen bonds mediate the characteristic L-shaped molecular structure. tRNAs have two regions of fundamental functional importance: the anti-codon, which is responsible for specific mRNA codon recognition, and the 3' end, to which the tRNAs corresponding amino acid is attached (by aminoacyl-tRNA synthetases). tRNAs cope with the degeneracy of the genetic code in two manners: having more than one tRNA (with a specific anti-codon) for a particular amino acid; and 'wobble' base-pairing, i.e. permitting non-standard base-pairing at the 3rd anti-codon position.
Source: RNAcentral